UGCAAGUCGAACGAACCCUUCGGGGUGAGUGGCGCACGGGUGCGUAACGCGUGGGAACCUGCCUUUAGGUUCGGAAUAACUCAGAGAAAUUUGAGCUAAUACCGGAUAAUGUCUUCGGACCAAAGAUUUAUCGCCUUUAGAUGGGCCCGCGUUAGAUUAGAUAGUUGGUGGGGUAAUGGCCUACCAAGUCGACGAUCUAUAGCUGGUCUGAGAGGAUGAUCAGCCACACUGGGACUGAGACACGGCCCAGACUCCUACGGGAGGCAGCAGUGGGGAAUAUUGGACAAUGGGCGAAAGCCUGAUCCAGCAAUGCCGCGUGAGUGAUGAAGGCCUUAGGGUUGUAAAGCUCUUUUACUAGGGAUGAUAAUGACAGUACCUAGAGAAUAAGCUCCGGCUAACUCCGUGCCAGCAGCCGCGGUAAUACGGAGGGAGCUAGCGUUGUUCGGAAUUACUGGGCGUAAAGAGAACGUAGGCGGCUAUCCAAGUCAGGGGUGAAAUCCCGGGGCUCAACCCCGGAACUGCCCUUGAAACUAGGUAGCUAGAAUUCUGGAGAGGUUAGUGGAAUUCCGAGUGUAGAGGUGAAAUUCGUAGAUAUUCGGAAGAACACCAGUGGCGAAGGCGACUGACUGGACAGAUAUUGACGCUGAGGUUCGAAAGCGUGGGGAGCAAACA
Molecule: ribosomal RNA, 672 nt
Filed under: Erythrobacter sp. AU506B_Ted1_MB20NH4
Lineage: Bacteria; Pseudomonadati; Pseudomonadota; Alphaproteobacteria; Sphingomonadales; Erythrobacteraceae
Description: bacterial SSU rRNA
Rfam family: Bacterial small subunit ribosomal RNA
Source: RNAcentral